Molecule: ribosomal RNA, 468 nt
Filed under: uncultured bacterium
Lineage: Bacteria
Description: partial 16S ribosomal RNA
Rfam family: Bacterial small subunit ribosomal RNA
Source: RNAcentral
GACGAACGCUGGCGGCGUGCUUAACACAUGCAAGUCGAACGGAAAGACCCUGCUUUUGUGGGGUGCUCGAGUGGCGAACGGGUGAGUAACACGUGAGUAACCUGCCCUUGACUUUGGGAUAACUUCAGGAAACUGGGGCUAAUACCGGAUAGGAGCUCCUGCUGCAUGGUGGGGGUUGGAAAGUUUCGGCGGUUGGGGAUGGACUCGCGGCUUAUCAGCUUGUUGGUGGGGUAGUGGCUUACCAAGGCUUUGACGGGUAGCCGGCCUGAGAGGGUGACCGGCCACAUUGGGACUGAGAUACGGCCCAGACUCCUACGGGAGGCAGCAGUGGGGAAUAUUGCACAAUGGGCGGAAGCCUGAUGCAGCAACGCCGCGUGCGGGAUGACGUCCUUCGGGUUGUAAACCGCUUUCGCCUGUGACGAAGCGUGAGUGACGGUAAUGGGUAAAGAAGCACCGGCUAACUACGUG